RNAcentral lists this non-coding RNA (328 nucleotides) under Beta vulgaris subsp. vulgaris (sugar beet). RNAcentral describes it as "Bacterial small subunit ribosomal RNA". It matches the Rfam family "Bacterial small subunit ribosomal RNA", at positions 1209 to 1533 of the family's 1533-position model. Lineage: Eukaryota; Viridiplantae; Streptophyta; Magnoliopsida; Caryophyllales; Amaranthaceae. The record is from Rfam by way of RNAcentral.
UGGGGCUACACACGUGCUACAAUGGCCGGUACAGAGGGCUGCUACUCAGCAAUGAGAUGCCAAUCCCCUAAAGCCGGCCUCAGUUCGGAUUGUCGUCUGCAACUCGACGGCAUGAAGCUGGAAUCGCUAGUAAUCGCGGAUCAGCGACGCCGCGGUGAAUACGUUCCCGGGCCUUGUACACACCGCCCGUCACGCCAUGGAAGCUGUGAGCGCCCGAAGUCGGUGCAGGAACCCGCAAGGGACCAAGCCGCCGAAGGCGAGCGCAGUGACUGGGGCGAAGUCGUAACAAGGUAGCCGUAGGGGAACCUGCGGCUGGAUCACCUCCUUU